GACGAACGCUGGCGGCGUGCUUAACACAUGCAAGUCGAACGGAAAGGCCCUGCUUUUGUGGGGUGCUCGAGUGGCGAACGGGUGAGUAACACGUGAGUAACCUGCCCUUGACUUUGGGAUAACUUCAGGAAACUGGGGCUAAUACCGGAUAGGAGCUCCUGCUGCAUGGUGGGGGUUGGAAAGUUUCGGCGGGUGGGGAUGGACUCGCGGCUUAUCAGCUUGUUGGUGGGGUAGUGGCUUACCAAGGCUUUGACCGGUAGCCGGCAUGAGAGGGUGACCGGCCACAAUGGGACUGAGAUACGGCCCAGACUCCUACGGGAGGCAGCAGUGGGGAAUAUUGCACAAUGGGCGGAAGCCUGAUGCAGCAACGCCGCGUGCGGGAUGACGGCCUUCGGGUUGUAAACCGCUUUCGCCUGUGACGAAGCGUGAGUGACGGUAAUGGGUAAAGAAGCACCGGCUAACUACGUG
This 468-nucleotide ribosomal RNA is filed under the name uncultured bacterium. RNAcentral describes it as "partial 16S ribosomal RNA". It matches the Rfam family "Bacterial small subunit ribosomal RNA", at positions 28 to 507 of the family's 1533-position model. The record is from RNAcentral.